This 506-nucleotide ribosomal RNA is filed under the name uncultured bacterium. RNAcentral describes it as "partial 16S ribosomal RNA". It matches the Rfam family "Bacterial small subunit ribosomal RNA", at positions 28 to 523 of the family's 1533-position model. The record is from RNAcentral.
GAUGAACGCUAGCUACAGGCUUAACACAUGCAAGUCGAGGGGUAACGAGAGGAAAGCUUGCUUUCCUUGUCGACGACCGGCGCACGGGUGAGUAACGCGUAUCCAACCUGCCCCCAACUAGGGAAUAACCUUGCGAAAGUAAGACUAAUACCCUAUAAUUUCCUCAGCUGACACUUGACGAGGAAUAAAGAUUUAUCGGUUGUGGAUGGGGAUGCGUCUGAUUAGCUUGUUGGCGGGGUAACGGCCCACCAAGACAACGAUCAGUAGGGGUUCGGAGAGGAAGGUCCCCCAGAUUGGAACUGAGACACGGGCCAAACGCCGACGGGAGGCAGCAGUGAGGAAUAUUGGUCAAUGGGCGGAAACCUGAGCCAGCCAAGUGGCGUGCAGGAUGGCGGCCCUAUGGGUUGUAAACUGCUUUUAUACAGGAAUAAAGUUAGCCACGUGUGGUUAUUUGUAGGUACUGUAUGAAUAAGGACCGGCUAAUUCCGUGCCAGCCGCCGCCGUAA